ACUACUCCAACCGCAGUGGUGACACUCCCAUCACUGUGAGGCAGCUGGGGACAGCCUAUGUGAGUGCCACCACUGGAGCUGUGGCCACAGCCCUGGGACUCAAAUCCCUCACCAAGCACCUGCCCCCCUUGGUCGGCAGAUUUGUGCCCUUUGCAGCAGUGGCAGCUGCCAACUGCAUCAACAUCCCCCUGAUGAGGCAGAGAGAGCUGCAGGUGGGCAUCCCGGUGGCUGACGAGGCAGGUCAGAGGCUUGGCUACUCGGUGACUGCAGCCAAGCAGGGAAUCUUCCAGGUGGUGAUUUCAAGAAUCUGCAUGGCGAUUCCUGCCAUGGCCAUCCCCCCACUGAUCAUGGACACUCUGGAGAAGAAAGACUUCCUGAAGGUAGGCGACUGUACCUCUCUUGUCCUGGAAUGGGCGAUGGCUGGGAGAAGAAGUGACCAGGCCCAACUCUCUCUCCAGCCUCGCCUGAUUCUCUAAGACUUGCCAGCCCUUCUCCUGACCCCUGCACCGCCUCCUCCACCUUCGUUCAUUCAGCAAGAAUGAACUGGGCUG
Molecule: small RNA, 551 nt
Filed under: Pan troglodytes (chimpanzee)
Lineage: Eukaryota; Metazoa; Chordata; Mammalia; Primates; Hominidae
Description: processed transcript
Source: RNAcentral